CGCGGCCUAUCAGCUUGUUGGUGGGGUAAUGGCCUACCAAGGCGAUGACGGGUAGCCGGCCUGAGAGGGUGACCGGCCACACUGGGACUGAGACACGGCCCAGACUCCUACGGGAGGCAGCAGUGGGGAAUAUUGCACAAUGGGCGGAAGCCUGAUGCAGCGACGCCGCGUGAGGGAUGACGGCCUUCGGGUUGUAAACCUCUUUCAGUAGGGAAGAAGCCGUGAGGUGACGGUACCUGCAGAAGAAGCGCCGGCUAACUACGUGCCAGCAGCCGCGGUAAUACGUAGGGCGCAAGCGUUAUCCGGAAUUAUUGGGCGUAAAGAGCUCGUAGGCGGUUUGUCGCGUCUGCUGUGAAAGACCGGGGCUCAACUCCGGUUCUGCAGUGGGUACGGGCAGACUAGAGUGAUGUAGGGGAGACUGGAAUUCCUGGUGUAGCGGUGAAAUGCGCAGAUAUCAGGAGGAACACCGAUGGCGAAGGCAGGUCUCUGGGCAUUAACUGACGCUGAGGAGCGAAAGCAUGGGGAGCGAACAGGAUUAGAUACCCUGGUAGUCCAUGCCGUAAACGUUGGGCACUAGGUGUGGGGGACAUUCCACGUUUUCCGCGCCGUAGCUAACGCAUUAAGUGCCCCGCCUGGGGAGUACGG
This 645-nucleotide ribosomal RNA is filed under the name uncultured bacterium. Its description in RNAcentral is "bacterial SSU rRNA". It matches the Rfam family "Bacterial small subunit ribosomal RNA", at positions 232 to 885 of the family's 1533-position model. The record is from RNAcentral.